Molecule: non-coding RNA, 107 nt
Filed under: Protocruzia adhaerens
Lineage: Eukaryota; Ciliophora; Spirotrichea
Source: RNAcentral
UCGCUCAACAAACCGGGCAACUAUAUUUUCACCUAAGACAGAGAGAGACAAAAAUUAGCAAUAAACAAAUCGGCAAAUUUACCUUCGUGUUUGUUUUUUGUUUUUUU